RNAcentral lists this ribosomal RNA (319 nucleotides) under uncultured soil bacterium. RNAcentral's name for it is "bacterial SSU rRNA". It matches the Rfam family "Bacterial small subunit ribosomal RNA", at positions 26 to 336 of the family's 1533-position model. The record is from RNAcentral.
AGAUUGAACGCUGGCGGCAGGCCUAACACAUGCAAGUCGAGCGGCAGCACGGGUACUUGUACCUGGUGGCGAGCGGCGGACGGGUGAGUAAUGCCUAGGAAUCUGCCUGGUAGUGGGGGAUAACGCUCGGAAACGGACGCUAAUACCGCAUACGUCCUACGGGAGAAAGCAGGGGACCUUCGGGCCUUGCGCUAUCAGAUGAGCCGUAGGUCGGAUUAGCUAGUUGGUGAGGUAAUGGCUCGAACCAGGGCACGAUCCGUAACUGGUCUGGAGUAGGAUGAUCAGUCACACGUGGAACUGACGACCGUACGGUCCACGU